RNAcentral lists this ribosomal RNA (446 nucleotides) under uncultured bacterium. RNAcentral's name for it is "bacterial SSU rRNA". It matches the Rfam family "Bacterial small subunit ribosomal RNA", at positions 329 to 792 of the family's 1533-position model. The record is from RNAcentral.
GGCCAGACUCCUACGGGAGGCAGCAGUGGGGAAUAUUGCACAAUGGGGGAAACCCUGAUGCAGCGACGCCGCGUGAGUGAAGAAGUAUUUCGGUAUGUAGAGCUCUAUCAGCAGGGAAGAAGUUGACGGUACCUGAGUAAGAAGCCCCGGCUAACUACGUGCCAGCAGCCGCGGUAAUACGUAGGGGGCAAGCGUUAUCCGGAUUUACUGGGUGUAAAGGGAGCGUAGACGGCAGUGCAAGUCUGAAGUGAAAGCCCCGGGCUUAACCCGGGAAUUGCUUUGGAAACUGUACGGCUGGAGUGCUGGAGAGGUAAGCGGAAUUCCUAGUGUAGCGGUGAAAUGCGUAGAUAUUAGGAGGAACACCAGUGGCGAAGGCGGCUUACUGGACAGUAACUGACGUUGAGGCUCGAAAGCGUGGGGAGCAAACAGGAUUAGAUACCCUCGUA